CGAGCUGGCCGGGCGGCCGCGUGACCGGGGAACCGGUCCCGAGGAAGGUCCGGGCUCCACAGGGCAAGGUGGUGGGCAACACCCACCCGGGGUGACCCGCGGGAACGUGCCACAGAGAACAGACCGCCUCCGGUCCUCCGGGACCGGCGGUGAGGGUGAAACGGUGGUGUAAGAGACCACCAGCGUCCCGGGUGACCGGGACGGCUAGGCAAACCCCACCAGGAGCAAGAUCAAGAGGGUGGCUCCGCGCGAGCGGGACCACCUGCGUGAGCGUUCGAGGGCGGCCCGCCCGAGUUCGCGGGUAGAUCGCCAGAGACCGCCGGCGACGGUGGUCCUAGAUGGAUGGUCGCCCCUCGCCGCAAGGCGAGGACAGAACCCGGCCUACAGGCCAGCUCGUCCC
RNAcentral lists this RNase P RNA (400 nucleotides) under Nocardioides sp. Its description in RNAcentral is "RNase P RNA component class A". It matches the Rfam family "Bacterial RNase P class A". From Rfam's summary of the family: Ribonuclease P (RNase P) is a ubiquitous endoribonuclease, found in archaea, bacteria and eukarya as well as chloroplasts and mitochondria. Its best characterised activity is the generation of mature 5'-ends of tRNAs by cleaving the 5'-leader elements of precursor-tRNAs. The record is from RNAcentral. Lineage: Bacteria; Bacillati; Actinomycetota; Actinomycetes; Propionibacteriales; Nocardioidaceae.